AUUGAACGCUGGCGGCAGGCCUAACACAUGCAAGUCGAGCGGUAGAGAGGUGCUUGCAUCUCUUGAGAGCGGCGGACGGGUGAGUAAUGCCUAGGAAUCUGCCUGGUGGUGGGGGAUAACGUUCGGAAACGGACGCUAAUACCGCAUACGUCCUACGGGAGAAAGCGGGGGGAUCUUCGGACCUCGCGCCAUUAGAUGAGCCUAGGUCGGAUUAGCUAGUUGGUGAGGUAAUGGCUCACCAAGGCGACGAUCCGUAACUGGUCUGAGAGGAUGAUCAGUCACACUGGAACUGAGACACGGUCCAGACUCCUACGGAGGCAGCAGUGGGGAAUAUUGGACAAUGGGCGAAAGACCUGAUCCAGCCAUGCCGCGUGUGUGAAGAAGGUCUUCGGAUUGUAAGCACUUUAAGUUGGGUAGGAAGGGCGAGUAAGUUAA
Molecule: ribosomal RNA, 435 nt
Filed under: uncultured bacterium
Lineage: Bacteria
Description: bacterial SSU rRNA
Rfam family: Bacterial small subunit ribosomal RNA
Source: RNAcentral